Molecule: non-coding RNA, 58 nt
Organism: Octopus bimaculoides (California two-spot octopus)
Lineage: Eukaryota; Metazoa; Mollusca; Cephalopoda; Octopoda; Octopodidae
Source: Rfam
UAGCUCAGUCGAUAGAGCACGAGACUCUUAAUCUCGGGGUCGUGGGUUCGUGCUCCAC